Hirsutella minnesotensis 3608 is the source of this 81-nucleotide transfer RNA. It matches the Rfam family "tRNA". From Rfam's summary of the family: Transfer RNA (tRNA) molecules are approximately 80 nucleotides in length. Their secondary structure includes four short double-helical elements and three loops (D, anti-codon, and T loops). The record is from Rfam. Lineage: Eukaryota; Fungi; Ascomycota; Sordariomycetes; Hypocreales; Ophiocordycipitaceae.
GGGGGGAUGGCGUAGUGGUAGAAGCGCCUGGAAGGCCCCGCAAUUUAUGCGAGGUCGUGGGUUCGAAUCCCGCUCCCCUCA